This 762-nucleotide ribosomal RNA is filed under the name uncultured archaeon. Its description in RNAcentral is "bacterial SSU rRNA". It matches the Rfam family "Archaeal small subunit ribosomal RNA", at positions 114 to 879 of the family's 1478-position model. The record is from RNAcentral.
UAGGAGUUCGGUAUACCCCGGGAACUGGGGAUAAUACCGGAUAGAUCACCCAUGCUGGAAGGCGGGGUGGUUGAAACUUCCGGGGCUUUUGGAUGGGUCUGCGGCUGAUUAGGUUGUUGCCGGUGUAACGUACCGUCAAGCCUGUAAUCAGUACGGGUUGUGGGAGCAAGAGCCCGGAGAUGGAUUCUGAGACACGAAUCCAGGCCCUACGGGGCGCAGCAGGCGCGAAAACUCUACAAUGCAGGCAACUGCGAUAGGGGAACAUCGAGUGGUAUCCAUAUUGGGUGUCUGUCCACCCGCCUAAAAAGCGGGUGUUAGCAAGGGCCGGGCAAGACCGGUGCCAGCCGCCGCGGUAAUACCGGCGGCUCGAGUGGUGGCCGAUAUUAUUGAGUCUAAAGGGUCCGUAGCCGGCUUUGCAAGUCUCUCGGGAAAUCCAGCGGCUUAACCGUUGGUCGUCCGGGGGGUACUACAUUGCUUGGGACUGGGAGAGGUAGGAGGUACUCAGGGGGUAGGAGUGAAAUCCUGUAAUCCUUUGGGGACCACCGGUGGCGAAGGCGUCCUACCAGAACAGGUCCGACGGUGAGGGACGAAAGAUAGGGGCACGAACCGGAUUAGAUACCCGGGUAGUCCUAGCCGUAAACGAUGCUCGCUAGGUGUCACAACAGUCGUGAACUGUUGUGGUGCCGUAGGGAAGCCGUGAAGCGAGCCACUUGGGAAGUACGACCGCAAGGUUGAAACUUAAAGGAAUUGGCGGGGGAGCAC